RNAcentral lists this ribosomal RNA (460 nucleotides) under uncultured bacterium. RNAcentral's name for it is "partial 16S ribosomal RNA". It matches the Rfam family "Bacterial small subunit ribosomal RNA", at positions 338 to 795 of the family's 1533-position model. The record is from RNAcentral.
CCUACGGGGUGCAGCAGUGAGGAAUAUUGGUCAAUGGACGCAAGUCUGAACCAGCCAUGCCGCGUGCAGGAAGACGGCUCUAUGAGUUGUAAACUGCUUUUGUACGAGGGUAAACGCAGAUACGCGUAUCUGUCUGAAAGUAUCGUACGAAUAAGGAUCGGCUAACUCCGUGCCAGCAGCCGCGGUAAUACGGAGGAUUCAAGCGUUAUCCGGAUUUAUUGGGUUUAAAGGGUGCGUAGGCGGUCGGAUAAGUUAGAGGUGAAAGCUCGAGGCUCAACCUCGGAAUUGCAUCUGAUACUGGUCGGCUAGAGAGUAGUUGCGGUAGGCGGAAUGUAUGGUGUAGCGGUGAAAUGCUUAGAGAUCAUACAGAACACCGAUUGCGAAGGCAGCUUACCAAGCUACUUCUGACGUUGAGGCACGAAAGCGUGGGGAGCAAACAGGAUUAGAUACCCUAGUAGUC